UCUAUUGAUUUUAUUUACUUUUUAUUUUUAGGUUCAUGUGCCUUUUGCAUCAGGCUUAGUAGAUUAUUAUGAUUACUUCAUGUGACCGAAAAGCCCAGAUCUCUUAAAGUGUUGUUUUGUGUAAACUCGGGUAGAGGUUUUUCAAACACUUUAGGUGAGGUGAUAAAUUAAUCGUUGGGUUUUAUAACUGUUUAAUAGUGUUUAAUUUUUAUCUGUCUGGUGAUGAGAUCAGAUAGAAUAAUAUACCUAUUUUUAUUUGAAAAGAUAAAAGGGUUAAAAUUACCCAUUUCUAGUGAUAAUGUUACAAUUCUUAUUGGUUUUGAUCUUCAGGUUAUGUUUAUGCGCUAUUUUUUGCAAUUUUUAGUUUAUAUCAAUUACUAAAUAAGUAAUUUAAAUAUGUUUGGUUGUUUCUCAAAGCUUGUCCGUCUGUUUAUCAAAAACAUUUCUAUAGUUUAUUUUCUAUAGUAGUACCUGCUCUAUGCUUAUUGUAAAUGGCCGCAGUAUCUUGACUGUGCGAAGGUAGCAUAAUUAAUUGCCCUAUAAUUGAGGGCUUGUUUGAAUGGUUUGACGUGAUAUACUAAAACAUCCAGUAUCUUUUUGAAAUUAAUGUUGAGGGCACAGAAUCCUCAAAAUUUAAUUAGACGGAAAGACCCCGGGAUCUUUGUUUUUUGCCUGGGGCAGGUAAGUAUGUUUCAUGUUUAUUAAGACCCUUAUGGUCUAUUGGGAUAAGUUACCCCGGGGAUAACAGUGUAAUGAGUUAUUAGAGAUCUUAUCGAAUAAUUUGUUUGCCACCUCGAUGUUGACUUAGGUGUUUAGCUAUGGCGCAGUAGUUUUAGUUUUAGGUCUGUUCGACCCUUUUCACCUCCAUGAGUUGAGUUAAGACCGGCGUGAGCCAGGUCGGUUCUUAUCUAUUAUUCUAGCUUACUAGUACGAAAGGAUCGUAAGUUGUUUUAUU
This 955-nucleotide ribosomal RNA is filed under the name Duplicibothrium sp. MZUSP 8039. Its description in RNAcentral is "16S ribosomal RNA". The stretch from base 635 to 914 matches the Rfam family "Archaeal large subunit ribosomal RNA", at positions 2150 to 2716 of the family's 2987-position model. The record is from RNAcentral. Lineage: Eukaryota; Metazoa; Platyhelminthes; Cestoda; Tetraphyllidea; Serendipidae.